UGGGGAAUAUUGCACAAUGGGCGCAAGCCUGAUGCAGCCAUGCCGCGUGUAUGAAGAAGGCCUUCGGGUUGUAAAGUACUUUCAGCGGGGAGGAAGGUGUUGAGGUUAAUAACCUCAGCAAUUGACGUUACCCGCAGAAGAAGCACCGGCUAACUCCGUGCCAGUAGCCGCGGUAAUACGGAGGGUGCAAGCGUUAAUCGGAAUUACUGGGCGUAAAGCGCACGCAGGCGGUCUGUCAAGUCGGAUGUGAAAUCCCCGGGCUCAACCUGGGAACUGCAUUCGAAACUGGCAGGCUAGAGUCUUGUAGAGGGGGGUAGAAUUCCAGGUGUAGCGGUGAAAUGCGUAGAGAUCUGGAGGAAUACCGGUGGCGAAGGCGGCCCCCUGGACAAAGACUGACGCUCAGGUGCGAAAGCGUGGGGAGCAAACA
This 427-nucleotide ribosomal RNA is filed under the name uncultured bacterium. RNAcentral's name for it is "partial 16S ribosomal RNA". It matches the Rfam family "Bacterial small subunit ribosomal RNA", at positions 355 to 774 of the family's 1533-position model. The record is from RNAcentral.